This 440-nucleotide ribosomal RNA is filed under the name uncultured bacterium. RNAcentral's name for it is "partial 16S ribosomal RNA". It matches the Rfam family "Bacterial small subunit ribosomal RNA", at positions 339 to 795 of the family's 1533-position model. The record is from RNAcentral.
CUACGGGUUGCAGCAGUAGGGAAUAUUGCACAAUGGGCGAAAGCCUGAUGCAGCAACGCCGCGUGCGCGAUGAAGGCCUUCGGGUUGUAAAGCGCUUUUCUGAGGGAAGAGGAAGGACUGUACCUCAGGAAUAAGUCUCGGCUAACUACGUGCCAGCAGCCGCGGUAACACGUAGGAGGCAAGCGUUAUCCGGAUUUACUGGGCGUAAAGCGCGUGUAGGCGGUUUGGCAAGUCGGAUGUGAAAGCUCCUGGCUCAACUGGGAGAGGUCGUUCGAAACUGCCAGACUAGAGGACGGUAGAGGAAGAUGGAAUUCCCGGUGUAGUAGUGAAAUGCAUAGAUAUCGGGAGGAACACCAGUGGCGAAGGCGGUCUUCUGGGCCGUUCCUGACGCUGAGACGCGAAAGCAUGGGUAGCGAACGGGAUUAGAUACCCCGGUAGUC